UGGGGAAUAUUGCACAAUGGGCGCAAGCCUGAUGCAGCCAUGCCGCGUGUGUGAAGAAGGCCUUCGGGUUGUAAAGCACUUUCAGCGAGGAGGAAGGGUAGUGUGUUAAUAGCACAUUGCAUUGACGUUACUCGCAGAAGAAGCACCGGCUAACUCCGUGCCAGCAGCCGCGGUAAUACGGGGGGUGCAAGCGUUAAUCGGAAUUACUGGGCGUAAAGCGCACGCAGGCGGUUUGUUAAGUCAGAUGUGAAAUCCCCGCGCUUAACGUGGGAACUGCAUUUGAAACUGGCAAGCUAGAGUCUUGUAGAGGGGGGUAGAAUUCCAGGUGUAGCGGUGAAAUGCGUAGAGAUCUGGAGGAAUACCGGUGGCGAAGGCGGCCCCCUGGACAAAGACUGACGCUCAGGUGCGAAAGCGUGGGGAGCAAACA
RNAcentral lists this ribosomal RNA (427 nucleotides) under uncultured bacterium. RNAcentral's name for it is "partial 16S ribosomal RNA". It matches the Rfam family "Bacterial small subunit ribosomal RNA", at positions 355 to 774 of the family's 1533-position model. The record is from RNAcentral.